This 2161-nucleotide ribosomal RNA is filed under the name Pessonella sp. PRA-29. Its description in RNAcentral is "SSU rRNA". It matches the Rfam family "Eukaryotic small subunit ribosomal RNA". Lineage: Eukaryota; Discosea; Flabellinia; Vannellidae. The record is from RNAcentral.
UAAUCAUACGCUUGUCUCAAAGAUUAAACCAUGCAAGUCUAAGUUUAACGAAAUUUAAACACGAAGACAGCGAAUAUCUCCUUAAAUCAGCAAUCGUUUACUUGAUUAUUUCUACUUUUUGAAUUAUUAAAAGUUGUUUCUCGGAUAACUGUGGUAAUUCUAGAGCUAAUACGUAUUAAAAUGGGCGCUGUGAGUUUUCGAACGAUCGGCGUCUUGUAUUUAUUAGAUUUUCAAAAACCAAUAUAGAUCAUUCCAAACUCGCGUUUCGGCGCGGGGAUCUAUUCCUUAUUUCUAUUGGUGAAUCAUAAUAACUGAUCGAACCGUGUGUCGCAAGACGACGGUGUUUCAUUCAAAUUUCUGCCCUAUCAGCUUUCGUUGGUAGUGUAGUGGACUACCAAGGCUUUUACGGGUACGGGGAAUUAGAGUUUGAUUCCGGAGAGGGAGCCUGAGAAACGGCUACCACUUCCAAGGAAGGCAGCAGGUGCGAAAAUUACCCAAUUCCAUCUCGGAGAGGUAGUGACAAAAAAUAACAAUACUGGACCUGAUAAAGGUCUUGUAAUUGCAAUGAGUACAAUUUAAACCAAUUAACAAGGAUCCAAUAGAGGGCAAGCCUGGUGCCAGCAGCCGCGGUAAUUCCAGCUCUGUGAGUGUAUAUUAGAUUUGUUGUAGUUAAAAAGCUCGUAGUCGGAGAUGAGACUAUUUUUUUGAAAUUUGAAAGCGGGAUUCGAGUGGAAAAUUCUGCUCGGGUUCACUUUUAAUUUCGAUAGUCUUUUAAUGAGCAAUCAAGUUAGCCUCACGGCGCUCGUUUGCUCUGUUUACUUUGAAAAAAUUAGAGUGUUCAAAGCAAGGAAAAGAUUGCACCUCACGGUGCGUCUUUGAUUUAAACCUUUUGAAUAUUUUAGCAUGGGAUAAUAGAACAAGACCUUUUUUUGAUUUUAUUGGUUUUCCAUUUUUAAUUAUUAGGUAAUGAUUAACAGGGACAGUUGGGGGUAUUAGUAUUGCGUUGUCAGAGGUGAAAUUCUUGGAUUAACGCAGGACUAACUUUUGCGAAGGCAUUUACCAAGGAUGUUUUCAUUGAUCAAGAACGAUAGUUUGGGGAUCGAAGAUGAUUAGACACCGUUGUAGUCCAAACUGUAAACUAUGCCGGCCCUGGAUGUGCAAACGUCACUUUAACAUAGUCGCGGUUUUCGAUUAGCAGCAAUGCGUCGUUAAAACUCGACUACCUAGACUUUGUGCGCACAGUAAGAGAAAUUACAAGCGUUUGGGUUCUAGGGGGAGUAUGGUCGCAAGACUGGAACUUAAAGGAAUUGACGGAAGGCCACCACAAGUUGUGGAACGUGCGGCUUAAUUUGAGUCAACACGGGAAAACUUUCCAGGGCAAGACGGAAUGAGGAUUGACAGAUUGAGAGCUCUUUCUUGAUUUUUCGGUUAGUGGUGCAUGGCCGCUCUUAGUUGGUGCUUUGAAGUGUCUGGUUAAUUCCGAUAACGAGCGAGACCUCAACUUACUAAAUAGUUGAACAAAUUUUCGAAAACCUCGUUGAUAUGAAGCGGAGUUUUAAUGAAAUAUUUAAUCGUUUUUCAUUCGCGCCGUGGAUUAUUGUUUUUAAAUUUGUUUUCUUUGUGCGGGCGUUUCGGCGCGCGCAUGAAAUACUUCUUAGAAGGACUUUUUGUAUUGAAACAAAAGGAAGUUUGAGGAAAUAGCAGGUCUGUAAUSSCCUUAGAUGUUCUGGAAUGCACGCGCGUUACUAUUGAAAAAGAAAAAAGUAUAUAAAAAGUUGCCGGACUUGUUUCGGUGCUUUUGAAACCUAUCUCGAGAGAGAAUGCCAGCUUUAGUGCGCUUCGGUGUAUCGGCUGGCGAUGGGUAAUCUUUGAAAUCUUUUUAUCAAUUGGGAUAGAUGAUUGCAAUUCUUCAUCUUGAACGAGGAAUAUCUAGUAAACGCGACUCAUCAAGUCGCGUUGACUACGUCACUGGCCUUUGUACACACCGCCCGUCGCUUCUACCGAUUGAUGGUUGAGGUGAGGUUUUGGGACGACCUAUGGAAAGUAUUGCUUCCUUUUUGAGUUGCAAAGCUGUUUGGGCRACUGAACAGUUCCUUUCCUGUCGAAACUUGCCCGAAUCUUUAUCAUUAGAGGAAGAAGAAGUCGUAACAAGGUUUNCCUG